GAUGAACGCUAGCUACAGGCUUAACACAUGCAAGUCGAGGGGAAACGACAGAGAAAGCUUGCUUUUUCUAGGCGUCGACCGGCGCACGGGUGAGUAACGCGUAUCCAACCUGCCCAUCACUUGGGGAUAACCUUGCGAAAGUAAGACUAAUACCCAAUGACGUCCAUCGACGACAUCUGAAAUGGAUUAAAGAUUUAUCGGUGACGGUUGGGGAUGCGUCUGAUUAGCUUGUUGGCGGGGUAACGGCCCACCAAGGCGACGAUCAGUAGGGGUUCUGAGAGGAAGGUCCCCCACAUUGGAACUGAGACACGGUCCAAACUCCUACGGGAGGCAGCAGUGAGGAAUAUUGGUCAAUGGACGAGAGUCUGAGCCAGCCAAGUAGCGUGCAGGAUGACGGCCCUAUGGGUUGUAAACUGCUUUUAUAAGGGAAUAAAGUGGGAGUCGUGACUCCUUUUGCAUGUACCUUAUGAAUAAGGACCGGCUAAUUCCGUGCCAGCCGCCGCAGUAA
Molecule: ribosomal RNA, 508 nt
Filed under: uncultured bacterium
Lineage: Bacteria
Description: partial 16S ribosomal RNA
Rfam family: Bacterial small subunit ribosomal RNA
Source: RNAcentral